RNAcentral lists this ribosomal RNA (498 nucleotides) under uncultured bacterium. RNAcentral's name for it is "partial 16S ribosomal RNA". It matches the Rfam family "Bacterial small subunit ribosomal RNA", at positions 28 to 507 of the family's 1533-position model. The record is from RNAcentral.
GACGAACGCUGGCGGCGUGCCUAAUACAUGCAAGUCGAACGAGAGCGACCGGUGCUUGCACUGGUCAAUCUAGUGGCGAACGGGUGAGUAACACGUGGGUAACCUGCCCAUCAGAGGGGGAUAACAUCCGGAAACGGAUGCUAAAACCGCAUAGGUCUUCGAGCCGCAUGGCUUGAAGAGGAAAAGAGGCGCAAGCUUCUGCUGAUGGAUGGACCCGCGGUGCAUUAGCUAGUUGGUGAGGUAACGGCUCACCAAGGCCGUGAUGCAUAGCCGACCUGAGAGGGUGAUCGGCCACAUUGGGACUGAGACACGGCCCAAACUCCUACGGGAGGCAGCAGUAGGGAAUCUUCCGCAAUGGACGCAAGUCUGACGGAGCAACGCCGCGUGAGUGAAGAAGGUUUUCGGUUCGUAAAACUCUGUUGUUAGAGAAGAACAAGUGCUAGAGUAACUGUUAGCGCCUUGACGGUAUCUAACCAGAAAGCCACGGCUAACUACGUG